GUCGGCAUCGUCACCAUCCAGCCGACCACCGUUUCUGUCGUCAGCGAAUUGCCGGGCCGCACGAGCGCGUUUCUCGUCGCCCAGGUUCGCGCUCGGGUCGACGGCAUCGUGCAACGCCGCGAAUUCACCGAAGGUGCAGAUGUGAAGGCAGGUCAGCGCCUUUACAAGAUCGA
Molecule: non-coding RNA, 173 nt
Filed under: Burkholderia sp. Leaf177
Lineage: Bacteria; Pseudomonadati; Pseudomonadota; Betaproteobacteria; Burkholderiales; Burkholderiaceae
Description: Burkholderia RNA 14
Rfam family: Burkholderia RNA 14
About the family: Co-purified with Hfq, expression confirmed by Northern blot.
Source: Rfam by way of RNAcentral